AUCACCUGGAAUCUUGUUAAAAGGCAGAGUCUGAAUCAGUAGGUCUGGGGGACUGAGAUUCUGCAUUUCUAACAAGCUCCUAGAUGAUGC
RNAcentral lists this microRNA precursor (90 nucleotides) under Choloepus hoffmanni (Hoffmann's two-fingered sloth). RNAcentral describes it as "miRNA (ENSCHOG00000015764.1)". It matches the Rfam family "mir-544 microRNA precursor family". Lineage: Eukaryota; Metazoa; Chordata; Mammalia; Pilosa; Megalonychidae. The record is from RNAcentral.